The submitters of this non-coding RNA (66 nucleotides) gave its source as unclassified sequences. The record is from Rfam.
GUCCGUUCAUCCCUACGUAUCAACAAGUAGGGACGCAUGACACCCAAGCAUGGAACGGGGCUUGGA